This 447-nucleotide ribosomal RNA is filed under the name uncultured bacterium. RNAcentral's name for it is "bacterial SSU rRNA". It matches the Rfam family "Bacterial small subunit ribosomal RNA", at positions 355 to 825 of the family's 1533-position model. The record is from RNAcentral.
UGGGGAAUAUUGGACAAUGGGCGCAAGCCUGAUCCAGCCAUGCCGCGUGAGUGACGAAGGUCUUCGGAUUGUAAAGCUCUUUUGCCAGGGACGAUAAUGACGGUACCUGGAGAAUAAGCCCCGGCUAACUUCGUGCCAGCAGCCGCGGUAAUACGAAGGGGGCUAGCGUUGUUCGGAAUUACUGGGCGUAAAGCGCACGUAGGCGGAUUUGUUAGUCAGGGGUGAAAUCCCGGGGCUCAACCUCGGAACUGCCUUUGAUACUGCAAGUCUCGAGUCCGGAAGAGGUGAGUGGAAUUCCUAGUGUAGAGGUGAAAUUCGUAGAUAUUAGGAAGAACACCAGUGGCGAAGGCGACUCACUGGUCCGGUACUGACGCUGAGGUGCGAAAGCGUGGGGAGCAAACAGGAUUAGAUACCCCAGUAGUCCCUGAGCGGGCUGGCAAGGCGCAU